RNAcentral lists this ribosomal RNA (263 nucleotides) under uncultured bacterium. RNAcentral describes it as "partial 16S ribosomal RNA". It matches the Rfam family "Bacterial small subunit ribosomal RNA", at positions 793 to 1055 of the family's 1533-position model. The record is from RNAcentral.
GUCCACGCAGUAAACGAUGAGUGCUAGGUGUCGGGACAUUAAGUCUCGGUGUCGUAGCUAACGCGUUAAGCACUCCGCCUGGGGAGUACGGUCGCAAGACUAAAACUCAAAGGAAUUGACGGGGACCCCGCACAAGCGGUGGAACAUGUGGUUUAAUUCGAUGUCACGCGAAAACCUUACCAGGCCUUGACAUAGUAGUCGUAUCCUUAGGAAACUAGGGAGUCAGUUCGGCUGGACUAUUACAGGUGUUGCAUGGCUGUCGU